GACGAACGCUGGCGGCGUGCUUAACACAUGCGAGUCGAACGGAAAGGCCCUGCUUUUGUGGGGUGCUCGAGUGGCGAACGGGUGAGUAACACGUGAGUAACCUGCCCUUGACUUUGGGAUAACUUCAGGAAACUGGGGCUAAUACCGGAUAGGAGCUCCUGCUGCAUGGUGGGGGUUGGAAAGUUUCGGCGGUUGGGGAUGGACUCGCGGCUUAUCAGCUUGUUGGUGGGGUAGUGGCUUACCAAGGCUUUGACGGGUAGCCGGCCUGAGAGGGCGACCGGCCACAUUGGGACUGAGAUACGGCCCAGACUCCUACGGGAGGCAGCAGUGGGGAAUAUUGCGCAAUGGGCGGAAGCCUGAUGCAGCAACGCCGCGUGCGGGAUGACGGCCUUCGGGUUGUAAACCGCUUUCGCCUGUGACGAAGCGUGAGUGACGGUAAUGGGUAAAGAAGCACCGGCUAACUACGUG
Molecule: ribosomal RNA, 468 nt
Filed under: uncultured bacterium
Lineage: Bacteria
Description: partial 16S ribosomal RNA
Rfam family: Bacterial small subunit ribosomal RNA
Source: RNAcentral